RNAcentral lists this ribosomal RNA (460 nucleotides) under uncultured bacterium. RNAcentral describes it as "partial 16S ribosomal RNA". It matches the Rfam family "Bacterial small subunit ribosomal RNA", at positions 338 to 795 of the family's 1533-position model. The record is from RNAcentral.
CCUACGGGAUGCAGCAGUGAGGAAUAUUGGUCAAUGUGCGCGAGCCUGAACCAGCCAAGUAGCGUGAAGGAUGACUGCCCUACGGGUUGUACACUUCUUUUAUAAAGGAAUAAAGUAAGGCACGUGUGCCUUUUUUUAUCUACUUUAUGAAUAAGGAUCGUCUAACUCCGUGCAAGCAGCCGCGGUAAUACGGAGGAUCCGAGCGUUGUCCGGAUGUAUGGGGUUAAAAGGGAGCGUAGGUGGGUUGUGAAGUCAGUGGUGAGAGGUGGCGGCUCAACCGUGAAAUUGCAAUUGAUACUGGCAGCCUUGAGUACAGUUGAGGUAGGCGGAAUUCGUGGUGUAGCGGUGAAAUGCUUAGAUAUCACGAAGAACUCCGAUUGCGAAGGCAGCCUACUAAACUGCCACUGACAUUGAUGCUCGAAAGUGUGGGUAUCAAACAGGAUUAGAUACCCCAGUAGUC